GGUUGAGUGUGGCAUAGUGGUUUGAGCAUUGGACCGUAAUUUUGGAGAACAGGGUUCGAAUCCCUGCUUGGCCA
Molecule: non-coding RNA, 74 nt
Organism: Phrynosoma platyrhinos (Desert horned lizard)
Lineage: Eukaryota; Metazoa; Chordata; Lepidosauria; Squamata; Phrynosomatidae
Source: the annotation of a GenBank genome assembly